RNAcentral lists this ribosomal RNA (360 nucleotides) under uncultured bacterium. Its description in RNAcentral is "bacterial SSU rRNA". It matches the Rfam family "Bacterial small subunit ribosomal RNA", at positions 149 to 507 of the family's 1533-position model. The record is from RNAcentral.
UAGACGAAGUUACGCUAAUACCGCAUAUUCUGUGAGCAGGAAGAGGGGAUCGCAAGACCUCUUGCUUUUAGGAGCGGCCGAUGUCGGAUUAGCUAGUUGGUGAGGUAAAGGCUCACCAAGGCGACGAUCCGUAGCGGGUCUGAGAGGAUGAUCCGCACACUGGGACUGAGACACGGCCCAGACUCCUACGGGAGGCAGUAGUGGGGAAUUUUGGACAAUGGGCGCAAGCCUGAUCCAGCCAUGCCGCGUGAGUGAAGAAGGCCUUCGGGUUGUAAAGCUCUUUCGGUGGGAAGAAAUUGCUUCGGUUAAUACCUGGAGUAGAUGACGGUACCCGCAUAAGAAGCACUGGCUAACUACGUG